Molecule: ribosomal RNA, 397 nt
Filed under: uncultured bacterium
Lineage: Bacteria
Description: partial 16S ribosomal RNA
Rfam family: Bacterial small subunit ribosomal RNA
Source: RNAcentral
AUACGUAGGGGGCGAGCGUUGUCCGGAAUGAUUGGGCGUAAAGGGCGCGUAGGCGGCCCGGUAAGUCUGGAGUGAAAGUCCUGUUUUUAAGAUGGGAAUUGCUUUGGAUACUGUCGGGCUUGAGUGCAGGAGAGGUAAGUGGAAUUCCCAGUGUAGCGGUGAAAUGCGUAGAGAUUGGGAGGAACACCAGUGGCGAAGGCGAGUUACUGGACUGUAACUGACGCUGAGGCGCGAAAGUGUGGGGAGCAAACAGGAUUAGAUACCCUGGUAGUCCACACUGUAAACGAUGAAUGCUAGGUGUAGGGGGUAUCGACCCCUUCUGUGCCGCAGUCAACACAAUAAGCAUUCCGCCUGGGGAGUACGGCCGCAAGGUUGAAACUCAAAUGAAUUGACGGGG